This is a long non-coding RNA of Rosa chinensis, 1035 nucleotides long. RefSeq lists it as uncharacterized. Lineage: Eukaryota; Viridiplantae; Streptophyta; Magnoliopsida; Rosales; Rosaceae. The transcript is spliced from 3 exons. The record is from RefSeq and is a predicted model, not a curated record.
UGCCGAGGCGCGCCCGGGGCGCGCUCCGGUGUGGGGCGACCGGAAAUUGCCUCGCCGGAUCAAAAUGAGGCGUGCUGCUGGAAAGGCGGUCGAAUAGGCGACGGAGCGCCGCUUUUUGCAGAGGCGGUGCAGAAAGGCAGGAAGGCGAGGAAGAAGAACUGAAGAAGACGGGAGGUAGACUCGUUCAGAAGUCAGAACGCAGCGCAGCCAAGGAAGAGUGGAAAGACGAGUGUGUGGGUGCGUUGCUUGGCUGGUGGAUCUACGAGAUUGUCCCAAGGAUUAAGGAAUUGGAGCACCAAAUUCCUGAUCUGAGGUGGCUGCUGUUUGUUUGCCUUUCGCAACUUUGCCCUAUAUUGAGAACAAACUACAUCUUGGAUAAGCCAUUUAGUCAAGCAUGCAUGGUUUCUAGGAAACAAGCCUUCUAUUAUCUGCUAGCUAUAUGAAGAACUUCCUGUCAGAUUUCGCAUUUUUGUGCUCUCUUGGUAUUUCCAUGAAAGCUUAAAGAAUGGAGCAACAAACAAGUCCUGGAGGACCUGGACAAUUUGGUAUCGUGGGCUUGUGUAUGAGUUACUCAUAUAUGGUUGUGGAACUUAUUUGUGAGCAUCUCGGCACUUGUUAUACUUUCAAGUAUCAAGCCAUAUUUCUGAGAUUUGAGCAAUUAUCGAGGUAAAAUGGCAUUAGCUGUGGUAGUCUAAAAUAUUCUUAGUUCUUUGAGCGUUAGUCUCUUGGUUGAAAUUUUCAUGGAGAGAACUGAGGGAUAAGUGUGUGUGAGCAUUGGGUGUAAUUGGGGUUCUCUGUUGAGAAUGGUUGAGAGAAAGUGCGAGAUUACACUUUAUUUUGACAUUAGUGGAUUAUUGCAUGCCGUGGACAAAUUGGGGUGAACCCUGCACGUUAAAACUUUGCCUCUUUGUUGAUUGUGGUGUUCUUUAUGAUUAUAGAUUUUUCUCUUAGUAAAAUGGGUGCGUCCGAAUUGGUAAAAUUCCAAGCAUGUAAUAAAGGGAUCGAUACAAGUAUACAACUAAUCUUCGAUACAAG